RNAcentral lists this non-coding RNA (29 nucleotides) under Homo sapiens (human). Lineage: Eukaryota; Metazoa; Chordata; Mammalia; Primates; Hominidae. The record is from RNAcentral.
UGGGGAGAAUAUUACCAAGCACCUUCCUA